Molecule: ribosomal RNA, 484 nt
Filed under: uncultured bacterium
Lineage: Bacteria
Description: partial 16S ribosomal RNA
Rfam family: Bacterial small subunit ribosomal RNA
Source: RNAcentral
AUUGAACGCUGGCGGCAGGCCUAACACAUGCAAGUCGAGCGGAUGAAGGGAGCUUGCUCCUGGAUUCAGCGGCGGACGGGUGAGUAAUGCCUAGGAAUCUGCCUGGUAGUGGGGGAUAACGUCCGGAAACGGGCGCUAAUACCGCAUACUUCCUGAGGGAGAAAGUGGGGGAUCUUCGGACCUCACGCUAUCAGAGGAGCCUAGGUCGGAUUAGCUAGUUGGUGGGGUAAAGGCCUACCAAGGCGACGAUCCGUAACUGGUCUGAGUGAAUGAUAAGUCACACUGGAACGGAGACACGGUCCAGACUCCUACGGGAGGCAGCAGUGGGGAAUAUUGGACAAUGGGGGAAAGCCUGAUCCAGCCAUGCCGCGUGUGUGAAGAAGGUCUUCGGAUUGUAAAGCCCUUUAAGUUGGGAGGAAGGGCAGUAAGUUAAUACCUUGCUGUUUUGACGUUACCAACAGAAUAAGCACCGGCUAACUUCGUG